AGUCCAGGCUCCAGGCCCCGGCUCUGGCCAGGCGCCGCCGCCUCCCGGUGCAGCUGAAAGUCGACGAAGAGGGCGGGGCGGGGGCGGCUUGUGGACUUCCACACUUUUCCUCUCUUCGGGCCAGUCUGGGGAGAGGGUGGCUAGCUGUGGCGGCGGCCAAUUACGUGGCGGACCUGCGGGGCUAAGCUGGCACGUCACUUCCGACUAGUGGAGUUUUUAGCCUUUUAACAUUCAAGGAUUAGGUAAAAGUCUUGCAGUGAAAAACCCGAGGACCCUUACCGCAAGUGUCUUUUGCUCCCAGCUACUGAUACUGGAUUCCACUCGUGAUUCUCCCUUUCUUAGCGCAUUCAUGAUAUAGACAUCAGUCUCUGAGCUGGAGGAGGACAAAGGCAGCGGUCCUGUGAAUUCUAUGCUCUAGCUUGGGUUAAGGGAUUUGGAAUUGCACUUGUUUCAGAGAGCUCCCUCUUUGCCCACUAGCAGGGCAUUAGCUGGUGCUGAAGACAGUGGCUGCUUGGCGAGCCUGGAUCUCCAAGUGACCCCCUCAGCAACUCCUGAUGAACAGGUACUGUGUGCAGAAAUGUGAUUGAGAUUCAAGUCAGGGCCUCUCUGCCCUUUUCCCUCCAGAAACAAAACCAAGAUAAUUUAUCCUGAACACGGUGAAAAAAGGAAGGGAGGGAGGAGAAAAAGUCCGGGUCUCACCUGGGAUUCUCUGUCUCCUGCAACAUGAAGGAUUUAGCCUGGGAGGAGGUGGUGAGAACUCUGGGAGAGAAAAAAGAAGGAAAGAAUAGUUUUACCCAUGCUGAAGUUAAUUUAAACCUUCACCUAGAGAAGCAAAAAAAAAAAACCCACACUUUCCCAUUUUGUGCCUCCCUUCCUAGAGUUUUAGCCAAAGGUUUAGCUAAGUAAUUGGUUUUACCAGCGCACUCACUCCUCCUAUCCCAAGUCUGUUUGACUCCCUCCCCAUCAUCCUCCUCACCUCUUUUCAGGCAGGGUGGGGAUAGCAGCAGGAGGAGAUUUUGGGAGCCUGGCAACUCCUGCAAGGACCGCAGGACAGCCCCUCUGUGGGGAUGCGUGGUGCCCCAUCUGCCGCCCUUCUGAAGAAUGCACUGCCUUCACUUUUUACUGUGUUAGAGUCCAUCCAGACUGUUCUAUCCAAAAAAGUUUCUUUUUCCCCCACAGGCAAUCAGGAAAUGAUUCCUUUCCCGACUGCUUCUGUCUAGUGCCUGGGAAUCUUGAGUCAAUCCCUCAGUAAGUCAGUGACUAGGGAAAUCCCUCUCUGAGCCUCCCAGUUCAUGUUGCUUAGGGAACCUGAUAUUUUCGUGAAACCUGCCUACACAUGGGCAGCCCAACAGCAGAACAAAUGGUGGUGACCAAAGUGAACAAAGAAGUAUAGUUGUGCCAGCUUCGUAGUUGCCCAUGUGGACAAGUCAGCAGGAUCAGGACACGAGGAAGAGUAAAUGUGAGACAGUCAAUGUGACUUCUGCGAUAAACAGAUUUUUAAACCCCGAAAUUUUGCAAAAUUUUGGUGAAACCUGAACUUUCUUCGUUGCAUAUACUGGCACUAUCUGUACCAUCAUACAACUGUCUCACAUUAAAGCUAUUUUUCUUGGGCACUGAUGAGUAAGGUUGGUAUAAGUUCCUCAGAUCAACAAAAACCCAUUUUCCUGUAAGUCUUACAUUUAGUAUUUAAGGAACUAAAACUUAAAUACAUUUUGUGAAAUGGUUGACACUUCACUGAUAAUGAUUUAUUGCUUGGAUUAAUAAAUUUUCCAAAAGUUGUCUUAUGUAGAAUAUGGUUUGCAACCAGCAGAACCAUUAAUCUAUACUGCAAUGAUAUGCACUAUGUAUAAUUGUUUAAAAGCCUCUACUUAAUGAUGUAAAAUGCUCUAUUUAAUUACACAUUUGGGUAAACUGUAUACUAACAUCUGAUGGCAUUUUUCCACUGUUUGUUGCUUUUUUCAAAUACUUUAUUGUACAAAGCUGUUCUUAAUAUUUUUCAAGUUUUUUUCUUUGAAUUUUGCUAAUGUUUUCCUUGAAUUAUGAGCACUGACAGAAUGUGCUUAGCACUUUUGGCUAUUCACACAGCUUUUGAGCAUGAUUUGCAUCCAAUAUUUACAUUGCUAGCAAUAAUAAGCCAUCUGUGAGUUUUGUCAAAAGUUAUUGGGGAUUUUUUAAAUUUUAGAAAUGCAAAUUAUUGUUUCUUUGAACUAACUCUUAUGCAGUUGCAAAGGCAUUUCCAGUUGUUAUAGUUUGUGUACAAUAUCAGGUGUUCCAGAUUAUGAUUCAUUAUUAAUAUCAUUGCUUCCUUGUUCCCUCUGAGGUCCAGAAGAUUCAUGUUUACAAUAUUUAGAAACAAUGUUAAAAAGG
Molecule: long non-coding RNA, 2367 nt
Organism: Homo sapiens (human)
Lineage: Eukaryota; Metazoa; Chordata; Mammalia; Primates; Hominidae
Gene: HCG18
Product: HLA complex group 18
Source: Ensembl